AACUCCUGACCUCAAGUGAUCCGCCCACCUCGGCCUCCCAAAGUGCUGGGAUUACAGGCAUGAGCCACCGCUCCGGGCCCUUGCACAUAUUUUUUUAUGAACACACAGGCAGCAGCACUUUGAUUACAGUAACUUACAUGGAAGUUAUUUUAAAAUGGCUUUCCCCUUCUCUUUUUCAUGUAGGCUGCAUUUUUCAUCUGCAGCACGCUUUCUCUCAAGAAUCUCAAGCACACACAAGAAACCAGAGAGUAAAAUCACUGAGGCGUGAACACAUCCAGAGACCAAGGGCGUCACUGGCAGAAAAGCUUUUAGGCGGAUCCACGGCCCGAGAGCCACCCUGCCCAGAGACGCGGUUUCCUAGGAGCAGUUCACACGCGGCUCUGCAGCACCCACAAGCGGGGCCAGGGGCUGGUUUUCAUAGUUCACAGUCUGCAGGGAUCUUAACAAAAACAUGGCCGUGGUAAAAGUGCCUAGACCAGGCUUUCGUCACAACUCAUCAUGUUACUAGGUUAGGAUAAUAAAAAGGACUGUGAACUUCACAUCUGCCAUCUAUAAUAGAUUCUUAUUGUAGCAAUCUUGCACCAAGGGGAUUUCUUUAUUAACUCUGCCAAAUUUUCCAAAAUUACCAAAUGGAGAAAAGAGCUGGUCCCAUCUGUCACCAGGCACAACCAGCGCGAUACCUGACUUUCACCAUGAUGAAUGGAGACAGGAUGGGGUCUGAAUGCUAGUCUUCAAUGCACCAUACAACAGUGCUAGACCCUCAUCAGUAUGAAGGGGAACAAAGCCCUCCUUAAAAGAUUUACUAGAGUUAACACCUGGGGAUCCUCAAGAAAUGAAUGCUAUCAUUGUUCUGCUUCAGAAGGUAGAAAUACAGGGAAUACACUUCAGAUAGGUUAAGAUAAAAAGUUUUGUGUUUAAGGCAGCACCUCAGUUGCCUGGAAAAUUCACUUCUGUAUAAUGCCUAAUUUGUUAAUGAUGCCGUGAAUAGAUGCUUUCUAAUAACUACACAAGUUUGUUUUUAUGAAAAAGUAGAGUAACAUGUCCUCUGAUGUUAGUAGUAGGAGAGUUUGAAUAAAGGACUUUAAACAAAUGAAGCAUAUAAUCCUCUCUCUUUAUUAGAAUGAUGAAGAGUGGGGGUGUUGUCUGUUUAUACAGUUAUCACCUAGGAGUCAUAUCAAGAUUCUUUUCCUAAUCUCAGUGAAGAGGUUAAAAAAAAGUUUAAAGAUUAGAGAUUUAGUAGAAUUGUCUUGUAGCACCUUUUUAAAAUAAAAUUUUUAAACGUAUCU
RNAcentral lists this long non-coding RNA (1286 nucleotides) under Homo sapiens (human). Its description in RNAcentral is "HSALNT0375471". The record is from RNAcentral. Lineage: Eukaryota; Metazoa; Chordata; Mammalia; Primates; Hominidae.